RNAcentral lists this ribosomal RNA (492 nucleotides) under uncultured bacterium. RNAcentral describes it as "partial 16S ribosomal RNA". It matches the Rfam family "Bacterial small subunit ribosomal RNA", at positions 29 to 507 of the family's 1533-position model. The record is from RNAcentral.
AGUGAACGCUGGCGGUAGGCCUAACACAUGCAAGUCGAACGGCAGCACAGUAAGAGCUUGCUCUUACGGGUGGCGAGUGGCGGACGGGUGAGGAAUACAUCGGAAUCUACUUUUUCGUGGGGGAUAACGUAGGGAAACUUACGCUAAUACCGCAUACGACCUACGGGUGAAAGCAGUGGAUCUUCGGACCUUUCGCGAUUGAAUGAGCCGAUGUCGGAUUAGCUAGUUGGCGGGGUAAAGGCCCACCAAGGCGACGAUCCGUAGCUGGUCUGAGAGGAUGAUCAGCCACACUGGAACUGAGACACGGUCCAGACUCCUACGGGAGGCAGCAGUGGGGAAUAUUGGACAAUGGGCGCAAGCCUGAUCCAGCCAUACCGCGUGGGUGAAGAAGGCCUUCGGGUUGUAAAGCCCUUUUGUUGGGAAAGAAAAGCAGCAGGUUAAUACCCCGCUGUUCUGACGGUACCCAAAGAAUAAGCACCGGCUAACUUCAUG